Molecule: ribosomal RNA, 103 nt
Filed under: uncultured bacterium
Lineage: Bacteria
Description: partial 16S ribosomal RNA
Rfam family: Bacterial small subunit ribosomal RNA
Source: RNAcentral
CCUUGUACACACCGCCCGUCACGCCAUGGAAGCUGGGGGGACCUGAAGCCGGUGGGCUAACCGCAAGGGGGCAGCCGUCAAAGGUCAAUUCAGUGACUGGGCG